RNAcentral lists this long non-coding RNA (5581 nucleotides) under Sus scrofa (pig). RNAcentral's name for it is "lncRNA (ENSSSCG00065026220.1)". The record is from RNAcentral. Lineage: Eukaryota; Metazoa; Chordata; Mammalia; Artiodactyla; Suidae.
GAUGCAGCAGUACAAGGAAGGCCAUCACAUGUGAACUGGAAGGGUGCCAACAUGGAGACACAGAGAGCGCAAGGAGCUUCUCCUGGGCCCGAGGAAAACGACGGUCCCCGCCCUCAAGACUACCAUCCCAUUAACUCUUUCUGCCACAGACACGUCCACAAUUACAGCCGUUGCUGAUUUUUGUUGUUUUCUGCUUUUCUGGCUACAAACCAGGACUUUUUUCUCCCUGGAAUUUCCUAAGGACAAAAAGCGUAAUUAAAACACGGCCUGCUUACCCCAUGAGUGAGAUCCUUCUACUGGGGCAGGAACUGGAGAAACCAAACCAAACAGCAAACUGAACAGCAGCCUAAAGCAUCUGGAGGAGAAGCCGUCUGGACCUCCGCUCUUCCUGGGCUCUGAAUUUGAGGGCCUAGGUGGCUACGUCCUAUUACUCCUCAAAAGGCAUUUAGGCUACUCAGUCUCAGAGAUUCAGGUUGCUGAGUCAUUUGUUCCCAAGAAGAUCCUCUGACACCAUGAAAAGCAGCAAAACAGAGUGGCCGCCAAGCCGGGACCUGGAGUGGCCAACGACUGGCUUCCUCUCUCCGGGGCAGGUGGCCAAGGGAGACGAGCACCCACCAGCCCAGCUCCCGCUGCCCCCGCCACAGUCAUACCUGGUGUUACCUGGUACUGGAUAGCCUUCACAUACCUGGAAACUCUCAACAGGGAGGGGGUUUCCCACCAAGGCUCUGGAAACUGACCGGGGUUAUUUUUGGAUGCUGCCAGGUCUCCAGGCAUCAAAGCACACAGCUCCCAAGCUUGCCCUGCCCCCAGACUCAGAAAUGUUCCCAGAACAGCUCACCUGCUAACUCCCUGGACCCCAUACACCCAGACGGACCCAGGGCGUCUUGGGUUCCCACAGCGCCACAUCCAAAGAAGGCAGACCGCAAAGGUUCCUGACAACCCGUGGUACCACAAGAGCCUCACCCUGAUCGGAAGUGGGAGGCGUGUGUGGGUCCUGGCGUGGCCGACUUAAAGUGUAUCACACCGAGGUGCUCGCAACUUCAAGAUGGCUUGAGAACCAGAGGCCACACCCUGCCCCCCAAGCAGGCUUCAUCAAGCAACGACUCUGGGCCAAGGUUUCACCCAGCAGAAAGAAGACCACUUGGAAGACAACCGUGGCACGCCACAGCUUUAAAAGCCCAGAGCGGUGUGCCAGGCUCUCAGCAGGGGAGAAAGUGCUUCAAAUUCACACCUUCUGGGCUCCAGGGUAGAGCAUGCCAAUAAAGAAGUCACCUACUGGUCUGAUGACCAAAGGAAUGUGGCCUUGAUGGCACCAGAGCAAGUCCCCCGGAAUGGUCCUCUGCCCACUUAAAUACCAUUUGCCGUAGUUUCCUUUUCCAUGGAAGAAAAACAUGCCUAAGUUCAUGUCAGGACAUUCCUGAUUUAUCCAAGAGCCCAGGAUCAGAUAAACAAAGGGCUCUGAGCUCUGCCAGGGAGCCUCCUGCUUCAGGAGGGAGAAGCAGAAGGAAGCAGGGCUCAGCCCGGCGCUGGCCCAUCACCCGAACUUGGUGAAUGACGUGCCGGCUCACUGCCAUGGCGAUGGAGAUGUCACGGGUGGGUGGCAGCGAGAGAGAAGAGGCAAAGAAGUCACGAGAGGCGGAACAAGAGCAAGUUAGGGUCAGGGGGGGCCACAGAACCCACAGACGGAGGCCGACUAUGGAUCAACCACAGCACCGCUGAGCUUGAGCCCAUGCAAAGGAAGGUGCCCUUCUCGGGGGCUGGCAGGAACCAACUCUGACUUGCAAAGCACUCUGACAGCACUGUGAUUGGGAGGUUCUGUUUCAUUUCACUUUUCAUCUAAACCUUUGCUUCUUCUUCCAGUUUUACUAAGAUUGAAACAGUCGUUUUCGAUGGCUCUGCCUAAUUCUAGGUCUUCCUUCUAUUAAUCUGAUCCUGCAUGGCGCCCAGAACAGGAAAACCCAAAUGGGAUGACCAGGAAGCAGACAUGGAUUCAGCUCCAAAAACAUGGGAGGAUGUUUGCUUAGCCGACAAGGAAGCAGGUUUACAGGGUAACCAGCCACCAGCCGUAAGCCUUCACGCUGCCUCUGGAGACCACGGAAGGAGCCUUCUCCCCGGAGGCUUUCGGAUGCCUUAGGAUGACUUUCACAACUACCAGUUUUGAGGCGACACAAGGAGCCAGGGCUCUUGGUGCCUUCUCUAAAAGAAAAUGCACGGCUACUCAGGGUGACGAAGACUCUCUACUUUAUCUUGUAGAUGAAGUCUUAUUUUGCCUUCACUUUCGCCAUGAGAUUGAUGAUCUCUCUGGAAUUUAUCUGUGUGUAUGAUGUGAGGUAGGGGUCAAGACUCAUUUCUUUCCUGUGGCCAUCCAACUGACCCCGUACUGUUUAUUAUUAAAGUGACCAUCCAUUCCCUACGGCCCCUCAGUGCCCCCGUGUCAUAAAUCAAGUGUCCAGAUAUCUAUGGGCUGUCACCAGGCUCUCUGUUCCAUUCCUUUGAUCAAAAUCAGAUAGACAAAUUGUUCUCCUCUUGUAGUGUAGCACCCCAGCCUUCAAUCAGGUGAUUUUUGACAGGAAGCUAUGUCUACAAGUAAAGUUCCAGAAAAUAUAAAUCGGAGAAGCAAAGUUCAGUGUGGACAGAGUCUGAGCCCAGUCUGGGCCUCUCAGAAAGAGCAGGAUGAGAAGAAAGAGACGCAGGAAAAAAGCAUCGGAAGCUAAGGAAGGGGACAGCAACAAGAAGGGCAGAGGGGUACGUGAGCCUGGGUUUUGUGGAUAAUGACAGAAACGAUCCAGAGAACAGACCGAAGCUGGUUAAAGAGACGACUGGCAUCAAAGUCAGGACCAGGUUAGCAGGCUGAUCCUGAGCAGGUGAACUCAGCCUUGCUGAGCCUCGGUCUCCCAAUCUGCGAAGUGCGAGGAGCCGUCCUCCUUGAGCUGUGAGGAGUAAGCAGAUGAGUCGGAGGUACAGCCCUUUCAUCACAUCCCGACAGAGCCUGGCAAUCCGAGUAUUCCAGCACACUAGGUGCCAUCCUCGCCGUGGUGACGCCUCAGCGCCCAGCCAGACCGAGGGUGCAAUCCUGCCGUUCAGCAUUCCGUGAGUACCUACCACUAAGCAAAGAUAACGUGGACAGUGGUGACAAACUCAGAAUCUCCAACGAGACCGGCUUGAAUCCGCAUGCCAGGACAGCCUCGACUAGUUACAGAGACUUGAACAACUUCUUUGACCAUCCCAAGUUCCCAGUUUCAGCUCCAUUCAUCCUUUCCAGGGGCUUUCUUGAGGAGGACGGCAUGAGACACAGAUGCACAACACAAAGUUACUGCUCAGCGGAUGCCAGUACCCCGUAACGAUGCCGACGAUGACGGAUAGUGAUGAUGGUGUGCCUGGCACCACACCAGGCACCGGAAGAGAAGGCCUAGGAACACUCGGAAGACCCACAGCUCCUGGCAAUCUUGGUCUUCGGACCACGUCCGAACCAGGCACAAGCACACCUAGCUUCAUCCUGACAAGACUAAGCAGAUGAGACCGAGGGUGUUCAAGUGGGGGGCCCAGGAGGAGACGGCUUGGAGGAAAAAGAUGGAGAUGCCAAGGAAAAGCCAAACUGCUGAGCCAGUUAAAUACUUGGUAAGGAAACUCUAAUCUUGGGGAACUUUAAGAAGAAACAAAAACACGGAAUCUAUAAAUACGAAUACUCAGAGAGUCUAAGCAUGUGCGGGGUCAAGGCGGGGGACGCGCGUCGGAAACGGUACUCACAGACUGGAAGUCUGAUGGUGCCCACGGGGAGAAGGUUCCUGAAAGAACAGCGCCGUUAAUAGCUUCGAUCAACAAUCCCGACCACGAUGUGGUCCGUCCUACGACCACAGCUUCUCAGUCUCCAGGAACAGCGACCCCAGAACCUCUGAGGAGCUUCUCCCAUCAAAUUCCCCACCCAAGGGACCGUGGCACUUCCGCCCAGGUGGCUGAGCUGAAGCGAGAGUAGGCCCCAGCAGUGACAACAAACACUCCAAGGACACAAUGCGGUGCCACGUGCCAAGUGAAAAUCCGAGCGACAAGGGCUGGGGACAGCCUGUGCUGGAGGGUAGGUCCUGGCAGAGGUGAGACGGCAGAGGCAGACACGGAAAAAGCCGCCGCGGGCAGGGAGCUGGACCAGGAAGCAGACAACGAGGGGCCUGGCAGACACCGGCCCUGGGCACACGGGCCUCCCCUGCGUGCAGGGCAGAGGAAGAUGCGUGAGGGCCAGGGCGGGUCCCCAGCAGGCAGGAGUGAACCCCGGCACCAGCAGAGACGCCGAGGGGAACAUGCCAAGGCCAGCACAGUGACUGACGGGGCAGACGCGCCCAGAGAAGGUCAGGCGUAGGUGGCGGAUGUUGUGACGGGUGUGUGCCCUCUUUCUGAGGGGACGCUUUCUCCUGAGCAGACUGACUCUGUCUGUCUGUCGGGCCAAAAUUUCAGGCUCCGAAGUGUCCUGCCCAAGCUGGCUUCUCCACCACCUCCUGGGAAAACGCAAGGGGCCAACUGUCUUCGGCUAGGCCACUGAUGGUUAGGUCUGCUGCCACAGACAGCUCCCCACGCAGCCUCACGCAGAAUCCAGGCCGGCGAUGGGAGCAGCACCUGCUAUUCUGAAAACGGACCAGGGCACAGAGGACAUGGGCAGUGCGAUGUGCCCAAGCCCCGGGCCCAGGGGCCUCCAGGGCUGCCCACGAUGCAGGGGGCAAAGUCUCCUGGGACUCAGGGGGUAACUCAACUUGCCUCCUGGCCGGCUGCUCAUGAAAUCCUGGCUCUGUCAAUGAACAGAAAUAAUUUCCAGAGAGACAGCCUGUGGCUGGGCCACGUGGCCCACGUGGAGGGACCUCUGGCCCAUCCCUGCAAGGUGGAAGCGGUGGCCUGGGCCACGGGCCAGACGUGGCCGGGGUGGGAGGGGCCUUGACUCCUCUGGGCACAGGUGGGGACCCUCAGACGGUGGUACUGCUGUUCCCGGGGUCCUCGGUCUUGAUCGGAAAGGGAAGCUCUGGGCGGGAGGAGACGGUCCUGGGGUACACAGAACCUGGGCCACUGACGACUCACGGGCCGUGCCGACCUCUGCGUGACCACAUGAACUUAGCACCACGAGUCUCAAACAUGGAGCUUCUUUCCUGCCCCAGACCCAACCGUGGCCUGGCUGAGCUGAGUCAGAACUAGACGGCAGGUGCCACACACACGAGGCGGACGGGGGUUCCCCACAUGAGGCUGACGUGUGCCUUCAUUUCCAUUUGGCCUGUUCCCCACCCCGCAGGGGCCCGCCCGCGCCCGAGCCUGGGGCCUCGGGGAAGAGGGAAGAGGAACGACCCUGGGGCCACCGCGCACACCAGGGCGCAGAGGCCAGACUUUCAGCAAAGUGCCGACCCUGCCGGGAGCUGGAGCAGAGACAGGGCACUCUCCUGACGGGGAGGAUGGGCUGAGCUCGGAGGGGCUCCUGGGGGCCUCGCGGGCAAGGACGCGGCGUGUCGCUGCGGUAGCUCGGGUCUGAUCACUGGCCUGGGAACUUCCGCGUGGAGCAGGCGAGGCCCCCCCAAAUUAAAUACAUAAAUAAAUACAUACAUAAUGCACU